GUAGUAACUUCGCUGGGUUUUACUUGCGAUUUUCGGCUCACUCGUCAAUUCUUUGGCACCGAUAUGGCCACAGGGAGGCUCAAGAUUGAGUUCUGAGUAGGAAAGGGGAAAAUUUUACCUUUUUCAUCGGUCGACGGUGGCUGUGGUGCGGUGGCAGUGACGUCCCUCCAACGGCUGGUCUUCCCUCCGGCCACCUCCUUAUUCUUCUUCUCCAGCCGGGUGUCGGCUAGGGUUUGGGACCGACCGAAGAGUGGUUUAAAUACCUCUCUUCCCUCUGAUCCAAGUCGUCUAUUUGUGUUGACGUGAAACAAGAAGAAUCAUCUGAUCAUUACCUAUUUAGGUCGAUUGCGUGGGCGAAUAUAAGCCAUUCAUCAUGAUUGAUCUUAUCCUUCGAUCGCGUCUAAAGAGAGAAUGCAUAUGAGUCGUCUGUGCGUGCGGGACAUGAUCGGGACUGUCAGAUUGCCAAGCACGCGGAUCACCUG
Molecule: long non-coding RNA, 482 nt
Filed under: Carica papaya (papaya)
Lineage: Eukaryota; Viridiplantae; Streptophyta; Magnoliopsida; Brassicales; Caricaceae
Description: long non-coding RNA (CPAP_LNC006746)
Source: RNAcentral